Molecule: transfer RNA, 77 nt
Filed under: Limisphaerales bacterium
Lineage: Bacteria; Pseudomonadati; Verrucomicrobiota; Verrucomicrobiia; Limisphaerales
Description: tRNA-Arg
Rfam family: tRNA
About the family: Transfer RNA (tRNA) molecules are approximately 80 nucleotides in length. Their secondary structure includes four short double-helical elements and three loops (D, anti-codon, and T loops). Further hydrogen bonds mediate the characteristic L-shaped molecular structure. tRNAs have two regions of fundamental functional importance: the anti-codon, which is responsible for specific mRNA codon recognition, and the 3' end, to which the tRNAs corresponding amino acid is attached (by aminoacyl-tRNA synthetases). tRNAs cope with the degeneracy of the genetic code in two manners: having more than one tRNA (with a specific anti-codon) for a particular amino acid; and 'wobble' base-pairing, i.e. permitting non-standard base-pairing at the 3rd anti-codon position.
Source: RNAcentral
GCGCCCGUAGCUCAGCCGGAUAGAGCAUCUGCCUUCUAAGCAGACGGUCACUGGUUCGAAUCCAGUCGGGCGUACCA